AUUGAACGCUGGCGGCAGGCCUAACACAUGCAAGUCGAACGAGUGGCGGACGGGUGAGUAAUGUCUGGGAAACUGCCCGAUGGAGGGGGAUAACUACUGGAAACGGUAGCUAAUACCGCAUACCAUCGGAUGUGCCCAGAUGGCAUUCGCUAGUAGGUGGGGUAACGGCUCACCUAGGCGAAGAUCCCUAGCUGGUCUGAGAGGAAGACCAGCCACACUGGAACUGAGACACGGUCCAGACGCCUACGGGAGGCAGCAGUUGGGAAUAUUGCACAAUUGGCGCAAGCCUGAUGCAGCAACGCCGCGUGUAUGAAGAAGGCCUUCGGGUUGUAAAGUACUUUCAGCGAGGAGGCGGUACUCGAAGAAGAAGCACCGGCUAACUCCGUGCCAGCAGCCGCGGUAAUAG
Molecule: ribosomal RNA, 406 nt
Filed under: uncultured bacterium
Lineage: Bacteria
Description: partial 16S ribosomal RNA
Rfam family: Bacterial small subunit ribosomal RNA
Source: RNAcentral